AAAUGCGAUAAGUAAUGUGAAUUGCAGAAUUCAGUGAAUCAUCGAAUCUUUGAACGCACCUUGCGCUCCUUGGUAUUCCUUGGAGCAUGCCUGUUUGAGUAUCAUGAAAUCUUCAAAGUAAAUCUUUUGUUAACUCAAUUGGUUUCUACUUUGGUAUUGGAGGUCUUUGCAGCUUCACACCUGCUCCUCUUUGUUCAUUAGCUGGAUCUCAGUGUUAUGCUUGGUUCCACUCGGCGUGAUAAGUUAUCUAUCGCUGAGGAAACUGUAAAAGGUGGCCAAGGUAAAUGCAGAUGAACCGCUUCUAAUAGUCCAUUGACUUGGACAAUACUUUUAUGAUCUGAUCUCAAAUCAGGUAGGACUACCCGCUGAACUUAAGC
This 377-nucleotide unclassified non-coding RNA is filed under the name plant metagenome. RNAcentral describes it as "partial contains 5.8S ribosomal RNA, internal transcribed spacer 2, and large subunit ribosomal RNA". The stretch from base 1 to 104 matches the Rfam family "5.8S ribosomal RNA", at positions 51 to 154 of the family's 154-position model. The record is from RNAcentral.